GACGUCGGGAAAAGCCGGGCGCGAGGAGCUUUAAAGGAGAAAGCGCUCCUUCGCGGAAAGCUUCCAUCUCCAAGGAUUCGGCUUCAGUGCUAAGCUUAUCAUAGAGAAACCUACCAGAGCCAAACUUCAAGUUUUGCCUCGCAGAAGCACAAAGAAAUGUCAGGUCAUUAAUUAAGCUUCGUGUUAGUAUCAGCAAGUAUCGAUGGAUUGUUAGGGGGAAUGGGGAAGGUCUUUAAACUUCAUUAUGACUUACUGCCAACUUUCUGCGCUUUGCUUCCUAAAGGCGCUCUCUGUGAAUUUCCUGCAUUUGCAUUAGAAUGCAUUUAGGAUGAAAAAAAUAACAGUGCUGAGUAUACUUAGGAUUUCGUGCUAUAUUUCCCUGUAGUAACAGGUGACAUGAUAAUAUUGUUAAACUACAAUGUGGAAUUGCAAGUGUGCAACCCCAAGUGAAAAUUGUUCUCUUUCUUGGUUGAAAGCAAAUUAUCAAUCAGCAUACCUUGAUCAAUUAUCCCCCUGGCUGCCACACACUGGGAUUUGCACAAGGCAUUGACAUUGAGAAAUUCCUCUUUAGAAAGGAUGAGCGGACGGGAUCCCAAACUUUGCAGCAGCCAAGCUAAGCUGCCGGGGUCUCACUUUUUUUUUUUUUUUUCCGCUAUUGUUGCUUUCCAGCUCAUCCAAGACAAAACUAGGAGAUUGUGUUUACUUCUCAGUGCAUUUUAAAAGAUGCUGUAUUUAAAAAAAAAAAAAAGGGGGGGGGGGGGGGGGAAACAAAGAAACACAAAAGCACAAAGAAAAAGCAAGUGAGGGAGCCUCGGGAAGAGCCGCACACCCCUCUCCCCUCGGUGCUCACCGUUGUUGGUAGGAGGUGAUGCCCUGGACGUUUUGCGGGUUGCCGUUGGCCGCGGCGCCGGCUCGCCCCAUACCCGGCGCCGCCGGCACCCCCCCGGCCGCCCCGCCGGCCGCCGCCGUCACCUGCACGCUGAAAUCCGGGAAGAUCCUGAUCAUCCCCGCGGCUCAGCACCCGGAGACUGUCGGCGAAGAGGUGCAGCAGCGGCGACUCUCCCUCCGGCGGCUGCAGCAGCAGAGCCAGGCACGCUGCAAUCCCAUUAGUGAAAAAAUCUCUCUUCUCUGGAAAUUCAUUUCCAUUUACUUAAAUGGUUUGACUUUGAAUUUUCAUUAUCUGCUGUUGGAAGGAGCCUGUGACAGGAGACCCACAGAAUCUUUAAGGAAAAGGAUCUUUACCUCUGAGCCCGGUAACUCAAGCCUUCACCAGCUAUGGAAUUGCAUCUGUCUAGGAAAUAUUUGCAAACAAAAAGGUACUCCUCUGUACUUCGAUGCAGCAUCCUGUUCUUGGUACGCGGUUAAAACAGAUCACCAGUUCUGCUUUAUUUUUUUUUCCCCAAUAAACUAUGUUUAUUAUGCCAAUUCUAAUUACCAUGCAAUCUAA
This 1447-nucleotide long non-coding RNA is filed under the name Anas platyrhynchos platyrhynchos (common mallard). RNAcentral's name for it is "lncRNA (ENSAPLG00000030777.1)". The record is from RNAcentral. Lineage: Eukaryota; Metazoa; Chordata; Aves; Anseriformes; Anatidae.